This 433-nucleotide ribosomal RNA is filed under the name uncultured bacterium. RNAcentral describes it as "bacterial SSU rRNA". It matches the Rfam family "Bacterial small subunit ribosomal RNA", at positions 958 to 1392 of the family's 1533-position model. The record is from RNAcentral.
AACGCGAAGAACCUUACCCGGUCUUGACAUGCAGUGGAAGUAUGUAGAGAUAUAUACGCCCUUCGGGGCCGCUGCACAGGUGCUGCAUGGCUGUCGUCAGCUCGUGCCGUGAGGUGUUGGGUUAAGUCCCGCAACGAGCGCAACCCUUAUCGUUAGUUGCCAACAGGUGAAGCUGGGAACUCUAGCGAGACUGCCUGGGUUAACCAGGAGGAAGGUGAGGAUGACGUCAAGUCCGCAUGGCCCUUAUGACCGGGGCUACACACGUGCUACAAUGGUCGGUACAGAAAGCAGCGAAGCCGCGAGGUGAAGCAAAUCUCCAAAGCCGGCCCCAGUUCAGAUUGUAGUCUGCAACUCGACUACAUGAAGAUGGAAUUGCUAGUAAUGGCAGGUCAGCAACACUGCCGUGAAUACGUUCCCGGGUCUUUACACACCG